Molecule: ribosomal RNA, 207 nt
Filed under: uncultured bacterium
Lineage: Bacteria
Description: partial 16S ribosomal RNA
Rfam family: Bacterial small subunit ribosomal RNA
Source: RNAcentral
AGUGCAGACGGUUGAUUAAGUCUGAUGUGAAAGCCCGGAGCUCAACUCCGGAAUGGCAUUGGAAACUGGUUAACUUGAGUGUUGUAGAGGUAAGUGGAACUCCAUGUGUAGCGGUGGAAUGCGUAGAUAUAUGGAAGAACACCAGUGGCGAAGGCGGCUUACUGGACAACAACUGACGUUGAGGCUCGAAAGUGUGGGUAGCAAACA